AACGAACGCUGGCGGCAGGCCUAACACAUGCAAGUCGAACGGACGUAGCAAUACGUUAGUGGCUCACGGGAGAGUAACGCGUGGGAACCUACCUUUUGGUUCGGGAUAACGUCGGGAAACUGGUGCUAAUACCGGAUAAGCCCUUCGGGGGAAAGAUUUAUUGCCGAAAGAUGGGCCCGCGUUGGAUUAGCUAGUUGGGGAGGUAAUGGCUCACCAAGGCAACGAUCCAUAGCUGGUCUGAGAGGAUGAUCAGCCUCACUGGGACUGAGACGCGGCCCAGACUCCUGCGGGAGGCAGCAGUGGGGAAUAUUGGACAAUGGGGGAAACCCUGAUCCAGCCAUGCCGCGUGAAUGAUGAAGGCCUUCGGGUUGUAAAGUUCUUUUGGUGGGGACGAUGAUGACGGUACCCACAGAAUAAGCUCCGGCUAACUUCGUGCCAGCAGCCGCCGUAA
Molecule: ribosomal RNA, 451 nt
Filed under: uncultured bacterium
Lineage: Bacteria
Description: partial 16S ribosomal RNA
Rfam family: Bacterial small subunit ribosomal RNA
Source: RNAcentral